RNAcentral lists this ribosomal RNA (500 nucleotides) under uncultured bacterium. Its description in RNAcentral is "partial 16S ribosomal RNA". It matches the Rfam family "Bacterial small subunit ribosomal RNA", at positions 28 to 523 of the family's 1533-position model. The record is from RNAcentral.
GACGAACGCUGGCGGCGUGCCUUACACAUGCAAGUCGAACGGCAGCACGGGAGCAAUCCUGGUGGCGAGUGGCGAACGGGUGAGUAAUGUAUCGGAACGUGCCCAGUCGUGGGGGAUGACGUAGCGAAAGCUACGCUAAUACCGCAUACGAUCUAUGGAUGAAAGCGGGGGAUCGCAAGACCUCGCGCGAUUGGAGCGGACGAUAUCAGAUUAGGUAGUUGGUGAGGUAAAGGCUCACCAAGCCGACGAUCUGUAGCUGGUCUGAGAGGACGACCAGCCACACUGGGACUGAGACACGGCCCAGACUCCUACGGGAGGCAGCAGUGGGGAACUCUGGACAAUGGGCGCAAGCCUGAUCCAGCAAUGCCGCGUGCAGGAUGAUGGCCUUCGGGUUGUAAACUGCUUUUGUACGGAGCGAAACGGCUUCCACUAAUACUGGGGGCUAAUGACGGUACCGUAAGAAUAAGCACCGGCUAACUACGUGCCAGCCGCCGCCGUAA